UUUUUUUUUUUUUUUUUUGUGUCUUUUCUAGGGCCCAAUCUGCGGCAUAUGGAGGUUCCUAGGCUAGGGGUCUAAUUGGAGCUGUAGUAGCUGCCCUGUGGCCUACGCCAGAGCCACAGCAACGUGGUAUCCGAGCCACAUCUGCGACCUACACCACAGCUCACAGCAACGCCAGAUCCUUAACCCACUGAGCAAGGCCAGGGAAUGAACCCACAACCUCAUGGUUCCUAGUCAGAUUUGUUAACCACUGAGCCACGAUGGGAACUCCCCUUUUUUUGAAACUUGUUAUUCCUAAUAAAGAAAAAUCUUUAUGAUCUAUUCAUUUUUUCAAAUUACAGUUGAAAUUACAGUAUUACAGUUGUAGAUUGUAUGUGUAGGAUUUUUGCGGUUCAAACAUAAUGGGGAAAAGCAUAUUCAUUCAUAUAUGCUUCCUUGUGCAUAAAAAUCACUGCAAAGAUACACAAGGGAAUGAUAAUGAUGACAUUAUCUCAUGGGGAGUGAAUAGGAAUUAGAUGAAGAAUAGGAGCAGGAGAUAAAUUUUACUGUAAAAUAUUUAAGCUUUGAAAAAUUAUUAAAAUAAAUAUGAAUCUUAACUCUUUAAGCUAAGUGAAUAAACUUUUUCAUUUUUUUUCUCAAAUAUUUAUUGAGGACCUACUUUGUGUCAGGUACUGUUUUAGGUACUUGGGAUCAGUGAACAAUACAAAGAUCCCAACCCUUACAGAGUUUAUAUUCCAAUGAUGGCAGACAGACAUUAAAAAAUAAUCAUAAUAAGUAUACAGUGUUGUAUAUCAGGAGAUAGUAUGUGCUAUGGAAAAAAAACACAUAAAAGCGUAUGUUGGAUUGGCAGUGUCAGUGCAAUUAGGAGGAGAUUUUACAAUAUUAAAUAAGAUUAGCAGGGUGGGAGUUCCUCUUCUGAGUCAGUGGUAUCAAACUCAACUGUUAUCCUUGACAAUGUGGGUUCAAUCCCUGGCCUCACUCGUGGGUUAAGGAUCCAGCGUUGUCAUGAGCUGAGAUGUAGGUUGCAGACACAGCUUGGAUCUGGCAUUGCUGUGGCUAUGAUGUGGGCCAGCAGCUGGAGCUCUGAUUUGAACCCUAGCCUGGGAACUUGCAUUUGCCAUAGGUGCAGGCCUUAAAAAAAAAAAAAAAAAAAAGAUAGUGGAUAAGUCUUAUCAAGAAAGAGCAAAGUUAAGCAAAGACUUAAGCAAAGGUGUUAGUCAUGUGGAUAUGUGACAAAAGAAUGUAAGGAGGUAAGGAUAAUAGCCAGUGUAUAUGCAUUGGGAGAGGUACAUGUCAGAUGUUUUAUAUAAAAGGUUUGGAGCCCAGUGUGUCUUGAUCAGAACAAAAAGGAUAGUAGGAUAUGGGGCCAGAAAUAUAAUAUCCAUUGGACAUUAGCAUGAUCUGACAAAUUUUGAAGUGCUCACUCUGGUUUUAUCAAUUUGAAUUAUUAUAAAUAGGAAGCAAGUGUAACAGCUAAGAGAUAUGUCAGAAAUAAUGGUGUCUUAGACCAGAGGAAGACCAAUGAAAGUGAUGAGAAAGUAGUUGGAGUUAUGAUGUAAUUUGAAACUACUUAGCUGUAUUCCUGAUGGACUGGUUAUGGAGUGUGAGGGAGAGGACUCAAGGAAGAGAGGUGUGAAAACAUUAUCUAGGAAAAUGGGAGAUUGAAUGGACUAGGAAAUUAUACUGUGAUUGGUUGUGAGCAUGAAGAGCCCACUUAAGAUCUUCAUGAAUUUAAAAGUGAAACUGGGUUUUUCUCUAGCUACAUUCAGCCACAUGAUUAGAUCCCAUCUGGUCUAAAGAAGACCUUUGUGGUAUUAUGGAAGGGACAGCCUUGUUAAAUUUUUUUUAAAAAUAAGGCAUAGGACAUCAUACAUAGAAGGUUCUCAUCUUAAAAAUUUUAAGAGACUACAUAUAGGCUUAUUUAUAUUUAUACAAAACUAGAUAUGUUUCACCAUGGUUUAGCUAAGUAUGAUAUUUUUGUACUCAUUCUAAAAAAUGUAUGAGCCUCAAAUGAUCCUUAUUAAACCAUGCCUCUUAUUUUUGCCACAUUAGCAGGUGGCAAGUAUAAGAAAGGUCUCAAUUAAAACAUUAAGGUGACCAUUUAAAAGGCAUGAAUGAUUUCAGAGUGCUUAUUUAAUCAUUGAAAAAUUAAGCUUAUGAUAUUUAUUUUGAACUUAACAUAGUAUAUAAAAUUGUUAACAUGAAUUGUAUGUGUUUUCUAAGAAUUUGUAUAUUUACUUUUUAAUGAUUUUUAUUUUUUUCCAUUAUAGUUGAUUUACACUGAUCUGUCAAUUUCCACUCUUCAGCAAAGUGACCCAGUCAUAGGAAGCAAGGGUAGCAGCUAAGAGGACCAAGGAAAUAAAUACCAGAAACCAAGAGCACAGAGUAUUUUCCUUCAUCAAUCCAUAGACUCUUCUCUAGUUUAAUCAAACACAAAAGAAUGACCACCUUGGCAAAUGGCCACAGAGGAUGUCAACAAUUUUUUGGAGAAUUAUGUUUUAAUGAAAAAUAAGUGUUCUUUAAUAUAGCGGUUUAUAUAAGUACAGCUAUUGUCCCCUUCCUUUUUUUUUUUUCUUUGAGCACUAUUGCAUGUGAAAAAUUACAUUAAGCCAUUUUGCACUUACCUCGAGUACUGUAUAAGACUGAAUUAUAUCCCUAAAUACAAAAUAAAAAUUUAAAUAGCUGAAAUUCAGUACCCAUGCUUGAAAACAGGGCUGUUGGCAUUUAUCUUGGAUGCACAAAUCAUAUAACUAUAAAUACUAAAUAGUUUGGAAGUUAAAGUUAUCUUCUGUUUAUUUUAAAAUUAUCCAUACCAUAUAUGAAUUUUUUUUCAUUUAAUUCCUGCACUUUUUUGGCCUCAAACAUUUUCAAGCAAUUGUUCUAAAGGGCUCCAAAAUCCUUGAGAUGUCAUCCUUUACAUCCCUAUCAGCUUUAUUUUUUGUGAGGUUCCUGCAUCACAAGAUGCCAUUGAACUUUUAGUUAUUUUUACAGGAGCUCUUAAUACUCCUGGAAAAAUAGCUGGCCAAGGAUUGUGGACCACGGUGCCAUCUUCAAUAUGAAAAUUAAUUACAUUACCCUUUAGAGGAAGUUUGGUUGAAAAGAAAUUGAAAACUGCAUUAUAACAAAAAUAAUAUAAGGAAUUUGCCUUCUCUGCUUUCAUAAACAGUAUUUAAGUGGGUGAAUAUAAAAUGAAAUAAAAGUAAACUUAUGAAAACAUAAGUAGAAUGCAAGAAAAUUGAUUUUUUUCCAACAUUUUAUAUGAACAAAGAAACUGUAGAUAUGUCAGAAUUUUUAAUUUAGUGUUAAUUCAACCCAUAGGCCUAAGGUCAUCCAGCAAACGAGCCUGCUUUUUAAGUUGUACAUGAAAGGACAUUUUCCAAGUGAAGGAGGCCAUAAAUGUUUAAAAAGCCCAGUGUAGAGCCUUCUGAGUUUUCUUUCGGUAACUAGAGACAAAAUUAAUUCUUGCUUUUCUGUUGAGGAAAAUUUCAUCUAAUUACAUUCAAAUUAUUCUGCAACUUUUUGGACAGCAAAGCCUGGUCACCAAAGAAAAGAAAAAGCAGCUGUGUUGCCUUUCCUCAUAGUUAUAAGAAUAGUAUUAUUAUGCAGUCACUAGGCUUUAUAGAACCGUAAGUGUUUAUCCUCUGACUGCCUUCUGGUAGGUACAUACCUAAACCUUUCUGAACUGCUGAUAAAGUAAGCCUUCUGUUUUUAAGGCUCUUCAAAGAAAUAGAUUUCAUUGCUUCUUUUAGCAAACCAAUCUGGAAUAACAGCUCUCAGGAGUAGGGAAUUCUUUCUUAACCCUUUUAUUGAGUGAUUGUUUCUGAAAUUUCUUUUCUCAGAAUCAUGCUUUAAUCAUAAUUUAAAUCUCUUCUUAGUUUCAUGUAAUCUACUUAAGGUUUAAGAAAAUACUUAAAGUUGAUCGCUGCUAAAAUUAAUAGAAAUAAUUUCCAUAAACAAUACUUCUCCAUUAGCAGCCUAUUGUUAAAUUUCUUCCUCUAAUAUUUCGUUUUUGAUCUUAUCUAGUGUCACAUCUUAUUUUGAUCUUAAGUUAUUCUUUAACCACAGAAACAUUCUUGUGUCAGAUAAUUGUAAUUUCUCUUUCUUCCACACACAUUAUGUUAAGAACCAGCCCUUUGUUCUCUUUGAAUUGCAUUCUAUUUAUGACCAUGUCAUUAAUAAUUCUAAUCAAAAGUGCUGGUGAUUUCAUUUUCUUCUCAUAUUUUAAGGUCGAUUUGCAAAUUAUGAUUUAAAAAAAUUUGAUAGUUAGAAAGGCAAUUAGAACAUCGUGGGUAUGACUAUAAGCUUGCUAUACAAGAACACAAAUUCAUAGAACAGAUUAAGACUGACUGAUUAACCACACCUGUGCCACUCCCACCAGCUGUGUUACUUGGGUAAAUUACUGAUUCUCUUUGUCCCCCAAUUUGUAUAUCUUUAAAAUUUGAUAAUUAUAGCAUUGUAAGGAUUAAAUGGGAUGAAUAAUAUAAGUAAAAGCUUAGCUACUUAGCAGUUGGGUGGCAUAUAAUUCAAUAAAUAGGUGAUGUAAUUAUUAUACUUUUGCAAAAGCAAUAAUGAAUUUGUCCAUUAUAUUCAUACCAGAUUUAUUUUACAUCAUGUUUCUGGUACUGCUACUAAGUUUUUUUUUCACAUUGAAUUUCCUCAAUGAGCAUUUUAAAUUUUAUGUUCAAGCAUGUAAAAAUGCAGUUUAUGCAGAAAUCGCUGGUAAAACAAACAAACAAAUAAAAACAUGGUUGUUUAAAAAAAAUGGCUGGUAGCCUUUUAGUCUCAUGAAAACUAUGUAUAUUACAAAUUUUGCAGGAGGUUUUACUGGAUGUUCCUGAUUUAUUGCCUGUUCUAAAAUUUUAACUUUAUUUGAACAACUAUUACUUGGAGAAAUAUUCCAUUCACAAUGCAGAGUGAUCUAAAAAAUCUUCUUUGGAUUAAAUAUCUUUUAUGGAUACUUUGAUCAAAUCUUUAAUUAGUCUGAGACGCUGGUUUAAAAUUUCAUUAGAGGAGUUCUCUUGUGGCACAGUGGGUUAAGGAUUUGGCAUUGUCACUGCAGCAGUU
Molecule: long non-coding RNA, 5061 nt
Filed under: Sus scrofa (pig)
Lineage: Eukaryota; Metazoa; Chordata; Mammalia; Artiodactyla; Suidae
Description: lncRNA (ENSSSCG00000059296.1)
Source: RNAcentral